RNAcentral lists this ribosomal RNA (464 nucleotides) under uncultured bacterium. RNAcentral describes it as "partial 16S ribosomal RNA". It matches the Rfam family "Bacterial small subunit ribosomal RNA", at positions 28 to 507 of the family's 1533-position model. The record is from RNAcentral.
GACGAACGCUGGCGGCGUGCUUAACACAUGCAAGUCGAACGGAAAGGCCCAGCUUGCUGGGUGCGCGAGUGGCGAACGGGUGAGUAACGCGUAAGUGGUCUGCCCCUAGCUUCGUGCUACGGGUGAGCAACUGGGUCGAGUACCGAAUAGGACAAACGCUGAGUGUCGGGUGUGGAAAGUUUGUUCGGGUAGGGAUGCGCGCGGGGCCUGUCAGCUCGUUGGUGGGGUAAUGGCCUACCAAGGCGGCGGCGGGUAGCCGGCCUGAGUGGGUGGCCGGCCACGUUGGGACUGCGAUGCGGCCCAGCCUCCUACGGGAGGCAGCAGUGGGGAAUAUUGCACUGUGGGCGCACGCCUGAUGCAGCGACGCCGCGUGGGGUGUGAACGCCUUCGGCUUGUAAACCUCUUUCGCCUGGGACGUAGCUUUGGUGACGGUACCUGUAUAAGAAGCGCCGGCUAACUACGUG